GAUGAACGCUGGCGGCGUGCCUAAUACAUGCAAGUCGAGCGAACAGACGAGGAGCUUGCUCCUCUGACGUUAGCGGCGGACGGGUGAGUAACACGUGGAUAACCUACCUAUAAGACUGGGAUAACUUCGGGAAACCGGAGCUAAUACCGGAUAAUAUAUUGAACCGCAUGGUUCAAUAGUGAAAGACGGUUUUGCUGUCACUUAUAGAUGGAUCCGCGCCGCAUUAGCUAGUUGGUAAGGUAACGGCUUACCAAGGCAACGAUGCGUACCCGACCUGAGAGGGUGACCGGCCACACGGGAACUGAGACACGGCCAAGACUCCGACGGGAGGCAGCAGUGGGGAAGAUUGGACAAUGGGCGAAAGCCUGAAGAAGCAACACCGCGUGAGUGAAGAAGGUCUUCGGGUCGUAAAGCUCUUUUAUUGGGAAAGAAAAAAAGUAGAAGAAAACAUCCCUGUUUUGACGGUACCUAAAGAAAAAGCACCGGCUAACUUCGUG
This 497-nucleotide ribosomal RNA is filed under the name uncultured bacterium. RNAcentral describes it as "partial 16S ribosomal RNA". It matches the Rfam family "Bacterial small subunit ribosomal RNA", at positions 28 to 507 of the family's 1533-position model. The record is from RNAcentral.